Molecule: transfer RNA, 73 nt
Filed under: Klebsiella pneumoniae
Lineage: Bacteria; Pseudomonadati; Pseudomonadota; Gammaproteobacteria; Enterobacterales; Enterobacteriaceae
Also listed under: 2 other names
Description: tRNA-Met
Source: RNAcentral
GAUUUAUAGGUAAAAUCCGCUCGCCUGACUCAUAAUCGCUUGGUCGUUGGUUCAAACCCAACAGGGGCCACCA